GUGGGGAAUCUUCCGCAAUGGACGAAAGUCUGACGGAGCGACGCCGCGUGAGUGAAGAAGGCCUUCGGGUCGUAAAGCUCUGUCAUCAGGGACGAACGGCCGGUGGAGUGGAAAGCCACCGGAUUGACGGUACCUGAGAAGGAAGCCACGGCUAACUACGUGCCAGCAGCCGCGGUAAUACGUAGGUGGCAAGCGUUGUCCGGAAUUAUUGGGCGUAAAGCGCGCGCAGGUGGGAUCUUAAGUCCAUUUUUAAAGUUCGGAGCUCAACUCCGUGAUGGGAUGGAAACUGGGAUUCUUGAGUACCGGAGAGGAAAGCGGAAUGCCCCGUGUGGCGGUGAAAUGCGUAGAUAUGGGGAGGAACACCAGUGGCGAAGGCGGCUUUCUGGACGGUGUCUGACACUGAGGCGCGAAAGCCAGGGGAGCGAACGGGAUUAGAUACCCCGGUAGUCC
Molecule: ribosomal RNA, 450 nt
Filed under: uncultured bacterium
Lineage: Bacteria
Description: partial 16S ribosomal RNA
Rfam family: Bacterial small subunit ribosomal RNA
Source: RNAcentral